ACAGAGCCCGGGCCGCAGGCACCUCCUCGCCAGCUCUUCCGCUCCUCUCACAGCCGCCAGACCCGCCUGCUGAGCCCCAUGGCCCGCGCCGCUCUCUCCGCCGCCCCCAGCAAUCCCCGGCUCCUGCGAGUGGCACUGCUGCUCCUGCUCCUGGUAGCCGCCGGCCGGCGCGCAGCAGGAGCGUCCGUGGCCACUGAACUGCGCUGCCAGUGCUUGCAGACCCUGCAGGGAAUUCACCCCAAGAACAUCCAAAGUGUGAACGUGAAGUCCCCCGGACCCCACUGCGCCCAAACCGAAGUCAUAGCCACACUCAAGAAUGGGCGGAAAGCUUGCCUUAAUCCCGCAUCCCCCAUAGUUAAGAAAAUCAUCGAAAAGAUGCUGAACAGGUGAGUUAUGGUUUCCAUGUACACAGGCGACUGGAGCCGUUGGUCAGAAAUACUGGCAUGUGCCCCCUAAAAAUAAAAUCAGGAAAACCCAGGGGUUAGUUGAAGGACUAGAAAUUGGGAUUAUUGUUUUCACAAUUAAGGUUUCCUUUACGAUAAUUACUGCUCUGGUGCCAGAGGAUAUUCCCAAU
Molecule: small RNA, 574 nt
Filed under: Pan troglodytes (chimpanzee)
Lineage: Eukaryota; Metazoa; Chordata; Mammalia; Primates; Hominidae
Description: processed transcript
Source: RNAcentral